Molecule: ribosomal RNA, 461 nt
Filed under: Pseudomonas sp.
Lineage: Bacteria; Pseudomonadati; Pseudomonadota; Gammaproteobacteria; Pseudomonadales; Pseudomonadaceae
Description: bacterial SSU rRNA
Rfam family: Bacterial small subunit ribosomal RNA
Source: RNAcentral
GCCUGGUAGUGGGGGAUAACUCGGGGAAACUCGAGCUAAUACCGCAUACGUCCUACGGGAGAAAGUGGGGGAUCUUCGGACCUCACGCUAUCAGAUGAGCCUAGGUCGGAUUAGCUAGUUGGUGAGGUAAAGGCUCACCAAGGCGACGAUCCGUAACUGGUCUGAGAGGAUGAUCAGUCACACUGGAACUGAGACACGGUCCAGACUCCUACGGGAGGCAGCAGUGGGGAAUAUUGGACAAUGGGCGAAAGCCUGAUCCAGCCAUGCCGCGUGUGUGAAGAAGGUCUUCGGAUUGUAAAGCACUUUAAGUUGGGAGGAAGGGCAGUAAGUUAAUACCUUGCUGUUUUGACGUUACCAACAGAAUAAGCACCGGCUAACUUCGUGCCAGCAGCCGCGGUAAUACGAAGGGUGCAAGCGUUAAUCGGAAUUACUGGGCGUAAAGCGCGCGUAGGUGGUUCAGC